This 263-nucleotide ribosomal RNA is filed under the name uncultured bacterium. Its description in RNAcentral is "partial 16S ribosomal RNA". It matches the Rfam family "Bacterial small subunit ribosomal RNA", at positions 99 to 353 of the family's 1533-position model. The record is from RNAcentral.
CGGACGGGUGAGUAAUACAUAAGUAACCUGCCCUAGACAGGGGGAUAACUAUUGGAAACGAUAGCUAAGACCGCAUAGGUACGGACACUGCAUGGUGACCGUAUUAAAAGUGCCUCAAAGCACUGGUAGAGGAUGGACUUAUGGCGCAUUAGCUGGUUGGCGGGGUAACGGCCCACCAAGGCGACGAUGCGUAGCCGACCUGGGAGGGUGACCGGCCACACUGGGACUGAGACACGGCCCAGACUCCUACGGGAGGCAGCAUG